Molecule: ribosomal RNA, 253 nt
Filed under: uncultured bacterium
Lineage: Bacteria
Description: partial 16S ribosomal RNA
Rfam family: Bacterial small subunit ribosomal RNA
Source: RNAcentral
UACGUAGGAGACGAGCGUUGUCCGGAGUUACUGGGCGUAAAGGGUGCGCAGGUGGCGGCGCGCGUGGGGGGUGAAAUCGCCCGGCUUAACUGGGCGGGGGCCUUCCAGACGGCGUGGCUUGAGCAGCGGAGGGGGACGUGGAAUUCCGGGUGGAGCGGUGAAAUGCGUAGAUAUCGGGAGGAACACCUGUGGCGAAAGCGGCUCACUGGACCACAACUGACGCUGAGGCGCGAAAGCUAGGGGAGCAAACAGG